AGGUCCCAAGGGUUUGGCUGUUCGCCAAUUAAAGCGGUACGUGAGCUGGGUUUAGAACGUCGUGAGACAGUUCGGUCCCUAUCUUUCGUGGGCGUAGGAUAUUUGAGAGGAUCUGUCCUUAGUACGAGAGGACCGGGACGGAUGAACCUCUGGUGUUCCAGUUGUCGCGCCAGCGGCAUUGCUGGGUAGCUAUGUUCAGAAUGGAUAACCGCUGAAAGCAUCUAAGCGGGAAGCCAACCUCAAGAUUAGAUAUCCCUCCCGAUGGAGACAUCGGGACUAAAGACCCCUUGAAGACUACAAGGUUGAUAGGCUAGAUGUGUAAGUGCAGUAAUGCAUUGAGCUGACUAGUACUAAUAGGUCGAGAGGCUUGGCCAU
RNAcentral lists this ribosomal RNA (375 nucleotides) under Deltaproteobacteria bacterium. RNAcentral's name for it is "partial 23S ribosomal RNA". It matches the Rfam family "Bacterial large subunit ribosomal RNA", at positions 2560 to 2925 of the family's 2925-position model. The record is from RNAcentral. Lineage: Bacteria; Pseudomonadati; Myxococcota; Myxococcia.